AUUGAACGCUGGCGGCAUGCCUUACACAUGCAAGUCGAACGGCAGCGGGGGAGAAGCUUGCUUUUCCUGCCGGCGAGUGGCGAACGGGUGAGUAAUACAUCGGAACGUGCCCUGUAGUGGGGGAUAACUAGUCGAAAGAUUAGCUAAUACCGCAUACGACCUGAGGGUUAAAGUGGGGGACCGCAAGGCCUCAUGCUAUAGGAGCGGCCGAUGUCUGAUUAGCUAGUUGGUGGGGUAAAGGCCUACCAAGGCGACGAUCAGUAGCUGGUCUGAGAGGACGAUCAGCCACACUGGGACUGAGACACGGCCCAGACUCCUACGGGAGGCAGCAGUGGGGAAUUUUGGGCAAUGGGCGAAAGCCUGAUCCAGCAAUGCCGCGUGUGUGAAGAAGGCCUUCGGGUUGUAAAGCACUUUUGUCCGGAAAGAAAUGGCUCUGGUUAAUACCUGGGGUCGAUGACGGUACCGGAAGAAUAAGGACCGGCUAACUACGUGCCAGCCGCCGCCGUAC
RNAcentral lists this ribosomal RNA (508 nucleotides) under uncultured bacterium. RNAcentral describes it as "partial 16S ribosomal RNA". It matches the Rfam family "Bacterial small subunit ribosomal RNA", at positions 30 to 523 of the family's 1533-position model. The record is from RNAcentral.